This 557-nucleotide ribosomal RNA is filed under the name uncultured Candida. Its description in RNAcentral is "eukaryotic LSU rRNA". It matches the Rfam family "Eukaryotic large subunit ribosomal RNA", at positions 34 to 669 of the family's 3401-position model. The record is from RNAcentral. Lineage: Eukaryota; Fungi; Ascomycota; Saccharomycetes; Saccharomycetales.
UUGCUWUAUCAAUWAGCGGAGGAAAAGAAACCAACAGGGAUUGCCUCAGUAACGGCGAGUGAAGCGGCAAAAGCUCAAAUUUGAAAUCCCCCGGGAAUUGUAAUUUGAAGGACCUAUUAAAACCCUGAGAGAGCCCAAAGUCCAUUGGAAAAUGGCGCCAUAGAAGGUGAUAGCCCUGUGUGGACCUCUCUCAGCAUACUUUUUAGGCCCAAAGAGUCGAGUUGUUUGGGAAUGCAGCUCUAAGUGGGUGGUAAAUUCCAUCUAAAGCUAAAUAUUGGCGAGAGACCGAUAGCGAACAAGUACAGUGAUGGAAAGAUGAAAAGCACUUUGAAAAGAGAGUGAAAAAGUACGUGAAAUUGUUGAAAGGGAAGGGCUUGCAAGCAGACACAACCUCGGUUGGGCCAGCAUCGGGGCGGGGGGAAACAAAAAAGGUGUGGAAUGUGGCUCUUACGAGUGUUAUAGCCCCACCCAAUAUUUCCAUCCCAUCCCGAGGCCUGCGAUUCUUCAAGGAUGCUGGCGUAAUGGUUGCAAGUCGCCCGUCUUGAAACACGGACCAA